Molecule: ribosomal RNA, 525 nt
Filed under: uncultured Alternaria
Lineage: Eukaryota; Fungi; Ascomycota; Dothideomycetes; Pleosporales; Pleosporaceae
Description: eukaryotic LSU rRNA
Rfam family: 5.8S ribosomal RNA (bases 179-332)
Source: RNAcentral
GGAGGGAUCAUUACACAAAUAUGAAGGCGGGCUGGAACCUCUCGGGGUUACAGCCUUGCUGAAUUAUUCACCCUUGUCUUUUGCGUACUUCUUGUUUCCUUGGUGGGUUCGCCCACCACUAGGACAAACAUAAACCUUUUGUAAUUGCAAUCAGCGUCAGUAACAAAUUAAUAAUUACAACUUUCAACAACGGAUCUCUUGGUUCUGGCAUCGAUGAAGAACGCAGCGAAAUGCGAUAAGUAGUGUGAAUUGCAGAAUUCAGUGAAUCAUCGAAUCUUUGAACGCACAUUGCGCCCUUUGGUAUUCCAAAGGGCAUGCCUGUUCGAGCGUCAUUUGUACCCUCAAGCUUUGCUUGGUGUUGGGCGUCUUGUCUCUAGCUUUGCUGGAGACUCGCCUUAAAGUAAUUGGCAGCCGGCCUACUGGUUUCGGAGCGCAGCACAAGUCGCACUCUCUAUCAGCAAAGGUCUAGCAUCCAUUAAGCCUUUUUUUCAACUUUUGACCUCGGAUCAGGUAGGGAUACCCGCU